Molecule: long non-coding RNA, 1216 nt
Organism: Brienomyrus brachyistius
Lineage: Eukaryota; Metazoa; Chordata; Actinopteri; Osteoglossiformes; Mormyridae
Exons: 3
Source: RefSeq, a predicted model, not a curated record
CCGAGCCACCAGACAGCGCGCAUGGACGGGGGGGAGGCCGCGUCUUCGGCGGCAGCUCGAUUAAAUGGAAGCGCGUCUAAUCGCCUUAAUUAAUCAUCUCCCAGCCGCAUUGGCGGCGCCACGGAUCAUUUUUUUCUUACAUUCAUCGAGGGUGCUACGAAAUGUACACAAUUUAUAUUUCAAAUUAUUUUCAGAUAUUUCUUUGGGGUAUGGUUUGCUAUGUCCUGGGGAAAUGAACCAGCUCAUGAAGUAUAGGGGACACAAGGUGUACGAAGGAGAGCGACGGUCGGGGGUCCUCAUUGACAAAAACAUUCCUGUGAUCCCCGCAUUGAUACAGAGGGAGGGGAAAAAACCACAACAUGUGAAAGUGCACUAUUGCACUUUGGCUGGUUCCUAUCAAAGACGAAGGCAGCGUCAGAACAGGUGGUGUGAUGUGGAUGAAACAGAGCGUCUAACAGAAGAGAGGCCCGAAAAUGCCCCAAAGUGUGGCUAGCUCGCACUGCGGGAGGACAGCAGGUGAGGCUGUAGCUGUGAUGUGUCCCAAAACUUUUAUAAAACCCCCAGAACAUGGGAAGGAGAAGACAUACCGUCCAAGGACGAGGAUUUAUACCUGAAGAAUCGCAGGUCUGAGACCUGUCCUCGAAAAUAUGCUUAACCCAAACAAACUAUUUCCAUGAAGAGAAGAGAAAACUCAGAAUAGCUCUAAAUAAAAGUGUUUGCUAAGCAGCUUAAAAUUUACCUUUUCUUCUUCUCUGCUACUAAGGGCCUUAUGAUUUAUCUGCCAGGAUGAAGAAGGUGAGUAUGGAGAGGUGGAUGCCAAAUAUGUUUAUUUUAACCAACUCCCAGAUGCCUAUAGUGCAUGAUGGGAAAUUUCUUUCGCAAUUACUCAGAAAAAUGAUGGGGGGGAUGGAGGUGCUGGGAUAACUGUAGGGGCAGGAUGGGUCAAGGCUGUGCUUUUCUGUCAUCUUCUCGCUGUCUUCAGACAUACUUAUGCACGACAUGUCGUUCAUCUCAUAGGAUAAAGGAGGGAGGCGAGGCGGAGAGAAAGAAUCGACCUCGACUCGCACAAACACGGGAGCGGACAUGAGGCGGCUGACGUCAAGAGAAGAUUUUAUUUUGCAGGCCCCCCCCAUGGGUCAUCGUUAUGUUAAAAUCACUGCUGUCUGAGAUGGUUAUGAAGAAGGUCAACGUUUUGGGAGAUGUUUUGUGGAGAUGA